AUUGAACGCUGGCGGCAUGCUUUACACAUGCAAGUCGAACGGCAGCGGGGUAGUGCUUGCACUACUGCCGGCGAGUGGCGAACGGGUGAGUAAUAUAUCGGAACGUACCGAGUAAUGGGGGAUAACCAAUCGAAAGAUUGGCUAAUACCGCAUACGUCCUGAGGGAGAAAGCGGGGGAUCGCAAGACCUCGCGUUAUUCGAGCGGCCGAUAACUGAUUAGCUAGUUGGUGGGGUAAAGGCCUACCAAGGCGACGAUCAGUAGCGGGUCUGAGAGGACGAUCCGCCACACUGGGACUGAGACACGGCCCAGACUCCUACGGGAGGCAGCAGUGGGGAAUUUUGGACAAUGGGGGCAACCCUGAUCCAGCCAUGCCGCGUGUAUGAAGAAGGCCUCCGGGUUGUAAAGUACUUUUGUUAGGGAAGAAAAGGGAAGUGCUAAUACCACUUUUUGCUGACGGUACCUAAAGAAUAAGCACCGGCUAACUACGUG
Molecule: ribosomal RNA, 490 nt
Filed under: uncultured bacterium
Lineage: Bacteria
Description: partial 16S ribosomal RNA
Rfam family: Bacterial small subunit ribosomal RNA
Source: RNAcentral